AGAUUUGUUCCUUUGGUCGGUGUGUGAAAUACAGUAUCAGUCAAGAAAGAUUGAACAAAACUUUUUGAGUGAAGGUUCUUUGCGAGGUUAGUAUUGUGAUUGGAAGCUUACUCGUCCUGACGAACGACGUUUCUUUAAAACAUCAAAGUGUUUUCAUACUCUUAGAAGUAGUUGGCACAAACCACAACACAAGGUUAUUGUAGGCUUGCAAUUGCACUGCAUAACUUCUCUGUUUAAUUAAGGUACUGUAUCAAGCCUUUAAUUUUUUUUUGUUUUCUUUCAGAAUUUAUGCGUUGAUAUAAUCUGUUAAGAAUACUUGGAAUACUCUUGUAACACUCUGCCAUCUGAAUCAAACAUAUUCGCUUGACAAAAUGGGGAAAAACGGAGAAUGGCAUGGCAUGUAGCAAUGCAGGCCCAGGUUUGAACAACAUUGUGGUAACAGAUUUUUGCUUCUUUACUGAUAGUUCACUUGGCAAUGUUUAAACUAAGUAUUGUGUCUGUAAGUCAAUAACACUGAAUGUUGUUUAUUGGCAGACACGUUUCAGUUUCUCACAGUUUUUACAAUUCAUAUGUGACGUCUUUUUCGUGUUUUACUCUAACUUGUUCUGUUUUGCCAGUCCUCUUUGUUUUGUAAUGUUUCACCUUUUGUCCUGUGAUGUCGUGUAUGGUUGUCCCUUGUGGUUGUCUGGUGUGUCGUAUGUCGUGAAUAUUUAUAUUAUAAUACUCAUCUAGUAUUGCAUAACUACAACAUUGCUCAUUUUAAACGAAUAUAUAGUACCUGUAUUAAACCUGCAUGCCAGCAGGUACUGUAUUUUGUUGUACCAAAAGAACGUGGAUAAUCCUGUGAAUUAUUGCAUUUUGAAAGAAAGGAAUGCUUAUUUCCUAUUUAUCAAAGCAUUGCAAACAGUGUGAAAUAAAACAACCGGUGGUCAUCGGUCCUUUUCCGAGCAAAAUACUGAUAUGGCCAUCUACAGAUUUCUCUUCACGGACAUUAUUUUAUAGACUUUUUGCCUCAAUACUAGAAUACAUGUGAAAAGGAGGAUGUUCGGAAAUCAAUGUGUAGCGACUAGCAAAUUAGAGGUCAAAUUUA
Molecule: non-coding RNA, 1090 nt
Organism: Paramuricea clavata
Lineage: Eukaryota; Metazoa; Cnidaria; Anthozoa; Malacalcyonacea; Plexauridae
Source: the annotation of a GenBank genome assembly